RNAcentral lists this ribosomal RNA (1757 nucleotides) under Euplotes focardii. RNAcentral's name for it is "partial Bacterial large subunit ribosomal RNA". It matches the Rfam family "Bacterial large subunit ribosomal RNA", at positions 23 to 1820 of the family's 2925-position model. The record is from RNAcentral. Lineage: Eukaryota; Ciliophora; Spirotrichea; Euplotida; Euplotidae.
GGUGGAUGCCUUGGCAGUUAGAGGCGAUGAAGGACGUGUUAAUCUGCGAUAAGCGUUGGUAAGGUGAUAAAAACCGUCAUAGCCAACGAUUUCCGAAUGGGGAAACCCACUUAGCAUAAGCUAGGUAUCAUUAACUGAAUACAUAGGUUAAUGAGGCAAACCGGGAGAACUGAAACAUCUAAGUACCCCGAGGAAAAGAAAUCAACCGAGAUUUCGUUAGUAGCGGCGAGCGAACGCGAAUCAGCCCUUAAGCUUAUUGGGCGCUAGUGGAAUGUUCUGGAAAGGACAACGAUACAGGGUGAUAGUCCCGUACACUAAAGCAACCUUUAAGUGAAAUCGAGUAGGACGGAGCACGUGAAACUUUGUCUGAAUAUGGGGGGACCAUCCUCCAAGGCUAAAUACUACUGACUGACCGAUAGUGAACCAGUACCGUGAGGGAAAGGCGAAAAGAACCCCUGUGAGGGGAGUGAAAUAGAACCUGAAACCGCAUACGUACAAGCAGUGGAAGCCGGAUUUAGUCCGGUGACUGCGUACCUUUUGUAUAAUGGGUCAGCGACUUAUAUUCUGUAGCAAGGUUAACCGAUUAGGGGAGCCGUAGCGAAAGCGAGUGUUAACUGCGCGUUUAGUUGCAGGGUAUAGACCCGAAACCCGGCGAUCUACCCAUGGGCAGGUUGAAGGUUGAGUAACAUCAACUGGAGGACCGAACCCACUAACUUUGAAAAGUUAGGGGAUGACCUGUGGCUGGGGGUGAAAGGCCAAUCAAACCGGGAGAUAGCUGGUUCUCCCCGAAAUCUAUUUAGGUAGAGCCUCGCACGAACACCAUUGGGGGUAGAGCACUGUUAAGGCUAGGGGGUCAUCCCGACUUACCAACCCUUUGCAAACUCCGAAUACCAAUGAGUGAUAUGCGGGAGACACACUACGGGUGCUAACGUCCGUUGUGAAGAGGGAAACAACCCAGACCGCCAGCUAAGGUCCCAAAGUACUAGUUAAGUGGGAAACGAUGUGGAAAGGCAUAGACAGCUAGGAGGUUGGCUUAGAAGCAGCCAUCCUUUAAAGAAAGCGUAAUAGCUCACUAGUCGAGUCGGCCUGCGCGGAAGAUGUAACGGGGCUAAACUAGUCACCGAAGCUGCGGAUUUGAACUUAGGUUCAAGUGGUAGGGGAGCGUUCUGUAAGCCGUUGAAGGUGAAUUGAGAAGUUUGCUGGAGGUAUCAGAAGUGCGAAUGCUGACAUGAGUAACGAUAAUGGGGGUGAAAAACCCCCACGCCGGAAGACCAAGGUUUCCUGUCCCAUGCUAAUCAGGGCAGGGUUAGUCGGCCCCUAAGGCGAGGCAGAAAUGCGUAGUCGAUGGGAAACGGAUUAAUAUUUCCGUACUUAUAUAAUCAGUGAUGGAGGGACGGAGAAGGCUAGGCAAGCUUGGCGUUGGUUGUCCAAGUGAAAGCGAGUAGGCCGAGAAUUUAGGUAAAUCCGGAUUCUUAAAGCUGAGACGCGAGACGAGCUCCCAAGGGAGUGAAGUUGUUGAUGCCCUGCUUCCAGGAAAAGCUUCUAAACUUAUGAUUAUAUGAACCGUACCCCAAACCGACACAGGUGGUCAGGUAGAGAAUACUAAGGCGCUUGAGAGAACUUGGGUGAAGGAACUCGGCAAAAUCGUACCGUAACUUCGGGAGAAGGUACGCCCCUGUUUGUGAUUGAACUUGCUUCAUGAGCGAAUGGGGGCCGCAGUGAAAUGGUGGCUGGAACUGUUUAUUAAAAACACAGCA